AUGGGAACAAUGCCGAAUCCCAAAGGGUACGGAGGAACCGUUUAUGGGGUGAAUCCUUUUGGUAGGGAUAUCCUUGCCCGAACCCGUCAGCUAACUCCGGAGGCAAAAGGAAAGGAGAA
RNAcentral lists this small RNA (119 nucleotides) under Desulforamulus reducens. RNAcentral's name for it is "Desulfotomaculum reducens c-di-AMP sequence". It matches the Rfam family "c-di-AMP riboswitch aptamer (ydaO/yuaA leader)". Rfam says of the family: This family represents a conserved RNA structure found upstream of the ydaO and yuaA genes in Bacillus subtilis and related genes in other bacteria. The ydaO/yuaA element is thought to act as a genetic "off" switch for the ydaO and yuaA genes in its native state. RNAcentral also lists the same sequence under 1 other name. Lineage: Bacteria; Bacillati; Bacillota; Clostridia; Eubacteriales; Peptococcaceae. The record is from RNAcentral.